This 362-nucleotide unclassified non-coding RNA is filed under the name Hevea brasiliensis (rubber tree). The record is from RNAcentral. Lineage: Eukaryota; Viridiplantae; Streptophyta; Magnoliopsida; Malpighiales; Euphorbiaceae.
AUCCAGAGGCUUCUUGGGACAAGGUUACUUCCUUUCUAAUCUUCAGUUUCUACAUAUAUAUAUAUAUAUUAUUUCUCUUUGUUAAUUUCUUAAUAUUCAAGUAAUCAGUUUUAUUGGGAUUGAGUAAAUAACUAGGUAUAGAAUCAUUGUGGAGUCAAGUGCCAGUUCCGCAACUGCAGUCUGCAGUGAAUAUGGACUGUUAUUCUGGUAUCUUUUAGCGUAAUAGUGGUUUUGGAGUUAAACCAAUUAAUCCAAAUGGGGAAUCUGUGAUAGAUGUACAAUGCCUGAGUGCAAAAGUGGAUGGUGAGGAAUAGGGCCUUUAUCAACAUAAUUUGAAGUUAUUGAUUAUUAAUGUGUGUGUG